GUGAGACUGUCUUAGUCAAGCUGAAUAAAGGAGGGGUUUUUGUACGGCCUCUUCCUCUGUUUGCAGCACUGUGGUACAUGUUUGGGGCCGGGACCAAGCUGAUGGUCAAAAGCCGCGCCUUGUCUUCCCCAGUGAUCAGUGUGCUGCCUCCGACCUCUAAGGAGACAUCUGACAAAAGUCAGGCCACGUUGCUCUGUCUGGUCAACAAUUUCUACCCCGACUCCGUCACCGUGAGCUGGACGGUGGACGGGCGUAGCGCAGUGGGAAGCCAGCUGGAUAGCCAAUCGCUGCGCAAGUCCGACGGGACCUACGGCAUGAACAGCAUGCUCACCCUGUCCCGCUCGGAGUGGGACUCCGGGGAGGUGUUCGCCUGUCAGGUUAGGCACGAAAGCCUGUCGACCCCCGCCGCCGAAAGCAUCCGCAAGAGCGAGUGUAAGGACGGGUAACUCGGCGGAAGAGCUGCUCAACGGCUUCUCACUUUUAAUAAUCUCUCGCUCUUUUCUCUCACUUCUGCUUUUGAUAAUCUUUGUCAUCCUGUCUAACCAUUUCCUCUUCUGUCAGUUAU
Molecule: non-coding RNA, 565 nt
Organism: Megalops cyprinoides (Indo-Pacific tarpon)
Lineage: Eukaryota; Metazoa; Chordata; Actinopteri; Elopiformes; Megalopidae
Source: the annotation of a RefSeq genome assembly